Gadus morhua (Atlantic cod) is the source of this 728-nucleotide long non-coding RNA. NCBI's taxonomy places the organism in Eukaryota, Metazoa, Chordata, Actinopteri, Gadiformes, Gadidae. The record is from Ensembl.
AGCUCAAUCAAAUGGCAGCCAGAGACUUGAGCUACUACAUCUAGAUACAGUCCAACCAAGCCACCAGCUAUUGCAUGAUAUGGGAAUAUCUAAAGUCGUGGAGCUGCUUUCCAAAGUGCUGGAAGGAAAUAAAUUGAUGAAAGCGGAAAUUACCAACCUGGGGAGUGAAGUGAGGGCGCUUAGGAGAGAGAUGGUGAGGCCGGUAGCACCAGAAGCUGCCGCUUCAUCCAUCAAGCUGCCUCUGAGGACAAUGGAGGAGUUUCAAUUAGCAGAGGCUGUUAUGAGAGAAACCCCCUGCGAAAAACAAAAGAUGAUCUUAACAUUCAGUCUAAUUGGAGGGCACACUGCAGAAGAGGCCGUAAGAAGGAUGUUGCAGAGUGGCCUAACAAAUAACCUGGCGUGUCGCUUCAACUGGGCAGGGAAAGGCUUCAAGGAAGCCUUUAAAAGCACUGUCCUUAGUGAUGUACUGUUCGCUGCACUCCAAAAACAGCUGCCAGGGACCACCCAUAUUGUUUUUUCAGGGACACUUAAGAAGUGGCUUAAAUAUGCACCAGAGAGAGAGGGAGGUGGAGGGAGGCGAACAAAUGAACGCGAUCAGGCGCCGCAGGAUCCUCGACCAUGAAUGAAUGUGUGUGUGUAAAUAAUAAUUAUAUUCGUUAGAAUAAUAGGGUUAAUUGGGUUUGGGUUGUUCGUGUUCAGUUAUCACGUUGUGUUGUUCAUUAUUGUCG